CGGCGGACGGGUGAGUAACGCGUGGGUAACCUACCCUGUACACACGGAUAACAUACCGAAAGGUAUGCUAAUACGGGAUAAUAUAUUUGAGAGGCAUCUCUUGAAUAUCAAAGGUGAGCCAGUACAGGAUGGACCCGCGUCUGAUUAGCUAGUUGGUAAGGUAACGGCUUACCAAGGCGACGAUCAGUAGCCGACCUGAGAGGGUGAUCGGCCACAUUGGAACUGAGACACGGCCCAA
This 238-nucleotide ribosomal RNA is filed under the name uncultured bacterium. Its description in RNAcentral is "partial 16S ribosomal RNA". It matches the Rfam family "Bacterial small subunit ribosomal RNA", at positions 96 to 334 of the family's 1533-position model. The record is from RNAcentral.